UACGAAAGGUGCAAGCGUUACUCGGAAUCACUGGGCGUAAAGCGCACGUAGGCGGACUAGUAGGUCAAUUGUGAAAUACCUGGGCUCAAACCAGGAACUGCAGUUGAAACCGCUUGUCUUGAAUACCUGAGAGGGUGGGGGAAUACCUGGUGGAGAAGUGAAAUUCGUAGAUAUUAGGAGGAAUACCUGUGGCGAAGGCGGCCUUCUGGACCGUUUUUGACGCUGAGACGCGAAAGCGUGGGUAGCAAACAGG
This 253-nucleotide ribosomal RNA is filed under the name uncultured bacterium. Its description in RNAcentral is "partial 16S ribosomal RNA". It matches the Rfam family "Bacterial small subunit ribosomal RNA", at positions 524 to 776 of the family's 1533-position model. The record is from RNAcentral.